UUAGUUAAGUUAGAAAGGGCGCACGGUGGAUGCCUUGGCACUAGGAGCCGAUGAAGGACGGGAUUAACACCGAUAUGCUUUGGGGAGCUGUAAGUAAGCUUUGAUCCAGAGAUUUCCGAAUGGGGAAACCCUCUAUCCGUAAUGGGAUAGAAUCUUUACCUGAAUACAUAGGGUACUGAAGGCAGACCCGGGGAACUGAAACAUCUAAGUACCCGGAGGAAGAGAAAGCAAACGCGAUUCCCUGAGUAGCGGCGAGCGAAACGGGAUUAGCCCAAACCAAGAGGCUUGCCUCUUGGGGUUGUAGGACACUCUAUAUGGAGUUACAAAGGAACGGGGUAGACGAAUCGAUCUGGAAAGGUCAGUCGUAGAAGGUAAAAACCCUGUAGUCGAAACUUCGUUCCCUCUUGAGUGUAUCCUGAGUACGGCGGGACACGAGAAAUCCCGUCGGAAGCAGGGAGGACCAUCUCCCAAGGCUAAAUACUCCCUAGUGACCGAUAGUGAACCAGUACCGUGAGGGAAAGGUGAAAAGCACCCCGGAAGGGGAGUGAAAUAGAUCCUGAAACCGUGUGCCUACAAGUAGUUAGAGCCCUUUUAUGGGUGAUAGCGUGCCUUUUGUAGAAUGAACCGGCGAGUUACGAUUACAUGCGAGGUUAAGUUGAAGAGACGGAGCCGCAGCGAAAGCGAGUCUGAAUAGGGCGAAAUAGUAUGUGGUUGUAGACCCGAAACCAGGUGAUCUACCCAUGUCCAGGGUGAAGUCCAGGUAACACUGGAUGGAGGCCCGAACCCACGCACGUUGAAAAGUGCGGGGAUGAGGUGUGGGUAGCGGAGAAAUUCCAAUCGAACUUGGAGAUAGCUGGUUCUCUCCGAAAUAGCUUUAGGGCUAGCCUCAAGAUUUAGAGUAUUGGAGGUAGAGCACUGUUUGGACUAGGGGCCCCC
This 936-nucleotide ribosomal RNA is filed under the name Salmonella enterica subsp. enterica serovar Kentucky str. 29166. RNAcentral describes it as "bacterial LSU rRNA". It matches the Rfam family "Bacterial large subunit ribosomal RNA", at positions 1 to 930 of the family's 2925-position model. Lineage: Bacteria; Pseudomonadati; Pseudomonadota; Gammaproteobacteria; Enterobacterales; Enterobacteriaceae. The record is from RNAcentral.